RNAcentral lists this ribosomal RNA (481 nucleotides) under uncultured bacterium. RNAcentral describes it as "partial 16S ribosomal RNA". It matches the Rfam family "Bacterial small subunit ribosomal RNA", at positions 30 to 507 of the family's 1533-position model. The record is from RNAcentral.
UGACCGCUGGCGGCGUGCCUACCACAUGCACGUCGAACGGAGUCGUUUUGGAAAUCUCUUCGGAGAUGGAAUUCUCGACUUAGUGGCGGACGGGUGAGUAACGCGUGAGCAAUCUGCCUUUAAGAGGGGGAUAACAGUCGGAAACGGCUGCUAAUACCGCAUAAAGCAUUAAAUUCGCAUGUUUUUGAUGCCAAAGGAGCAAUCCGCUUUUAGAUGAGCUCGCGUCUGAUUAGCUAGUUGGCGGGGUAACGGCCCACCAAGGCGACGAUCAGUAGCCGGACUGAGAGGUUGAACGGCCACAUUGGGACUGAGACACGGCCCAGACUCCUACGGGAGGCAGCAGUGGGGAAUAUUGCGCAAUGGGGGAAACCCUGACGCAGCAACGCCGCGUGAUUGAAGAAGGCCUUCGGGUUGUAAAGAUCUUUAAUCAGGGACGAAACAAAUGACGGUACCUGAAGAAUAAGCUCCGGCUAACUACGUG